RNAcentral lists this small RNA (636 nucleotides) under Pan troglodytes (chimpanzee). Its description in RNAcentral is "retained intron". Lineage: Eukaryota; Metazoa; Chordata; Mammalia; Primates; Hominidae. The record is from RNAcentral.
ACUUUCCGCGGCUUUGACGAGCCCGCAGCGGCCGGGCCCGAGCGCAGAGCCGGGCCGAGACUGCACCAUGCAGGAAGCGCCAGCUGCGCUGCCCACGGAGCCAGGCCCCAGCCCCGUGCCUGCCUUCCUCGGCAAGCUAUGGGCGCUGGUGGGGGACCCAGGCACAGACCACCUGAUCCGCUGGAGCCCGAGCGGGACCAGUUUCCUCGUAAGCGACCAGAGCCGUUUCGCCAAGGAAGUGCUGCCCCAGUAUUUCAAGCAUAGCAACAUGGCGAGCUUCGUGCGCCAACUCAACAUGUACGGUUUUCGGAAGGUGGUGAGCAUCGAGCAGGGCGGCCUGCUUAGGCCGGAGCGCGACCACGUCGAGUUCCAGCACCCGAGCUUCGUGCGCGGCCGCGAGCAGCUACUGGAGCGCGUGCGGCGCAAGGUGCCCGCGCUGCGCGGCGACGACGGCCGCUGGCGCCCGGAGGACCUGGGUCGACUACUGGGCGAGGUGCAGGCUUUGCGGGGAGUGCAGGAGAGCACCGAGGCGCGGCUGCGGGAGCUCAGGCAGUGCGGGGGCGGGCGGGGAAAGAGGGGACAGGGGUGGGGGGUUCGGGAUGAGACCAUAACUGGCCGGCCAGCAGUUCUGGGCAG